Long non-coding RNA from Saccostrea echinata, 533 nucleotides. RefSeq lists it as uncharacterized. The record is from RefSeq and is a predicted model, not a curated record. The transcript is spliced from 4 exons. Lineage: Eukaryota; Metazoa; Mollusca; Bivalvia; Ostreida; Ostreidae.
CCUCAAAUUCACGAUGCAAAAAGACAUGAAGCGCGAAUGCCACCACUUCAACCCUCAAACAAGUCUUUGGUAUUACGCAUAUAUACCCACGAAAACAUGGAACUGAAGUGUUUAGCCAAAGGCUCAUUAUAUGAGAAAGACCUGUAUGAUUCUUUGGUUGCUCCGAGACUAUCAAACAGUGUCUUGGUCCAGUCCUUUCAGACAGACUCUGGGAUCCCAUCUUCCUGCUCUUCAGAGUAUAAGGUGAUGAAUGUAUCCAAAAUAAAGUUCCCGGAUACCAGUAUCUACUUGUCUGGUAAAAGAGAUCACGCCAAGUGGGCAGUGUCCGAGAAGUUGAGGAGAUGGGUGUGUGUUGGAGACCUUGACUGAGUGACUUCAGCCCUCAAGAGAGGGGGAGGAGCGUUGUGUAUGGUCAACUACACGGCUUGGAAGGCGUUUCAUAGCAUCAUAAACUCUGCUGACAAAUGUUAACUUGAAAUCACUGUGUUAUGUUUCAGCUUCUUUCGAUGAAAAAAAUACGAUAUGUUUUUAUA